Molecule: ribosomal RNA, 253 nt
Filed under: uncultured bacterium
Lineage: Bacteria
Description: partial 16S ribosomal RNA
Rfam family: Bacterial small subunit ribosomal RNA
Source: RNAcentral
UACGAAGGGGGCUAGCGUUGCUCGGAAUCACUGGGCGUAAAGGGUGCGUAGGCGGGUCUUUAAGUCAGAGGUGAAAUCCUGGAGCUCAACUCCAGAACUGCCUUUGAUACUGAGGAUCUUGAGUACGGGAGAGGUGAGUGGAACUGCGAGUGUAGAGGUGAAAUUCGUAGAUAUUCGCAAGAACACCAGUGGCAAAGGCGGCUCACUGGCCCGUAACUGACGCUGAGGCACGAAAGCGUGGGGAGCAAACAGG